Balaenoptera musculus (blue whale) is the source of this 104-nucleotide small nuclear RNA. Lineage: Eukaryota; Metazoa; Chordata; Mammalia; Artiodactyla; Balaenopteridae. The record is from Ensembl.
GUGAUCACUUCAGCAGCGCAUACACUAAAAUUGGAACGAUACAGAGAUUAGCAUGGCCCGUGUGCAAGGAUGACAUGCAAAUUUGUGAAGCGUUCCAUAUUUAA